Molecule: ribosomal RNA, 1642 nt
Filed under: Limipolycystis sicilicula
Lineage: Eukaryota; Metazoa; Platyhelminthes; Rhabdocoela; Polycystididae
Description: eukaryotic LSU rRNA
Rfam family: Eukaryotic large subunit ribosomal RNA
Source: RNAcentral
CCCUUAGUAGCGGCGAGCGAACAGGGAUUAGCCCAUAACCGAAUCCUGCAGCUUUUGCUGUUAGGAAAUGUGGUGUUUGGUUCGAUCCUUGCGGCAUGCUGGAGUUGUUUUAAGUCCACGUGAUUGUGGCUUCAAGCCCAAAGAGGGUGUAAGGCCCGUAUAAACAAUACAGUAUGUCCAUGGGUUGCUCCUAGAGUCGGGUUGUUUGGGAUUGCAGCCCAAAUCGGGUGGUAAACUCCAUCCAAGGCUAAAUACAACACGAGUCCGAUAGCGAACAAGUAUUAUGAAAGAAAGUUGAAAAGAACUUUGAAGAGAGAGUUCAACAGUGCGUGAAACCGCUUAAGAGAAAACCGGGCAGAGCUGAAGGAAAGUUUGUAUAUUUGUAUUUCGUUGAGGCCAUGUGCCGGGUGCUGUGAUAGGUUAACUACGCAGUCCGGUGUGUGCGCUUGAGCGUUGUGCUAUUAUACAUUCUUGACACCAAGAUCAGUUGUUAGACUGGCCAUGUCAUGCUGGAGAAAGGUGACUCUGGAGUUAAUCUAGAGUGUUAUAGCCUCUGCGUACAGCGCCAGUUGAGAACUGUUAUGCGAUGCAAGCCAUUGUGGCGCACAAGAUGUGGCGUGGUAAGAAGUAGCUAUUUCAACUCAAUAAGAGAUGGUUUAGCUAUCUGACGAUCAUGUCGUGUCCUCUGUGUGUUGUAUCAACAAUCAUUGGUGAAAUGGUAGGUCAUCUGCCCGACCCGUCUUGAAACACGGACCAAGGAGUUUAGCAUGCGCGCGAGUCAUGGGGUUAUACGAAACCUAAAGGCGCAGUGAAAGUAAAGGCUUGCCUUGUGCAGGCUUCGGUAGGAUCCUGGCUUUCAAUGUGUGGCAACAUACAUGGGCUAGGCGCACUACCAGCUCGUCCCAUGCUUUAUUAAGUGGGGCGACGCAAGAGCGCACAUGCUGAGACCCGAAAGAUGGUGAACUAUGCCUGUGUAGGUUGAAGCCAGAGGAAACUCUGGUGGAGGACCGUAGCAAUUCUGACGUGCAAAUCGAUUGUCAAACAUGGGUAUAGGGGCGAAAGACUAAUCGAACCAUCUAGUAGCUGGUUCCCUCCGAAGUUUCCCUCAGGAUAGCUGGCACUCGGGAAACAAACAGUUUUAUCCGGUAAAGCGAAUGAUUAGCAGUAUUGGGGAUGACAUAUCCUCAACUGAUUCUCAAACUUUAAAUGGGUGAGAUGCUCAACUCUCUUAAAUUAUGGAGUUGGGCUUUUGAAUGUGAGUGCCUAGUGGGCCAUUUUUGGUAAGCAGAACUGGCGCUGUGGGAUGAACCAAACGUCUGGUUAAGGAGCCAAACGCAACGCUCAUGAGAAACCACAAAAGGUGUUGGUUGAUUUAGACAGCAGGACGGUGGCCAUGGAAGUCGGAAUCCGCUAAGGAGUGUGUAACAACUCACCUGCCGAAUCAACCAGCCCUGAAAAUGGAUGGCGCUUGAGCGUUGGUCCUAUACCAGACCGUUACCGCGAGAUCAAAGUAUGUGGUAACGAGUAGGAGGGCGCCGUGGUGAGCAUAGAAGCCUUGGUCGUGAGACUGGGUGGAGCCGCCACGGGUGCAGAUCUUGGUGGUAGUAGCAAAUAUUCAAGUGAGAACCUUGAAGACUGAAGU